Small nuclear RNA from Oryctes borbonicus, 141 nucleotides. It matches the Rfam family "U4 spliceosomal RNA". From Rfam's summary of the family: U4 small nuclear RNA (U4 snRNA) is a component of the major U2-dependent spliceosome. The structure of U4 snRNA from yeast and human has been reported. The record is from Rfam. Lineage: Eukaryota; Metazoa; Arthropoda; Insecta; Coleoptera; Scarabaeidae.
AGCUUUGCGCAGUGGCGAUAUCGUAACCAAUGAGGUCUAUCCGAGGUGCGAUCAUUGCUAGUUGAAAACUUUAACCAAUACCCCGCCAAGUGGACGUGAAAUACCGUCCGCUACGGCAAUUUUUGGAAGCCCCUACGGGGG